GACGAAUGCUGGCGGCGUGCCUAAUACAUGCAAGUUGAGCGAUGAAGAUUGGUGCUUGCGCCAAUUUGAAGAGCAGCGAACGGGUGAGUAACGCGUGGGGAAUCUGCCUUUGAGCGGGGGACAACAUUUGGAAACGAAUGCUAAUACCGCAUAACAACUUUAAACAUAAGUUUUAAGUUUGAAAGAUGCAAUUGCAUCACUCAAAGAUGAUCCCGGGUUGUAUUAGCUAGUUGGGGAGGUAAAGGCUCACCAAGGCGAUGAUACAUAGCCGACCUGAGAGGGUGAUCGGCCACAUUGGGACUGAGACACGGCCCAAACUCCUACGGGAGGCAGCAGUAGGGAAUCUUCGGCAAUGGACGAGAGUCUGACCGAGCAACGCCGCGUGAGUGAAGAAGGUUUUCGGAUCGUAAAACUCUGUUGGUAGAGAAGAACGUUGGUGAGAGUGGAAAGCUCAUCAAGUGACGGUAACUACCCAGAAAGGGACGGCUAACUACGUGCCAGCAGCCGCCGUAA
Molecule: ribosomal RNA, 513 nt
Filed under: uncultured bacterium
Lineage: Bacteria
Description: partial 16S ribosomal RNA
Rfam family: Bacterial small subunit ribosomal RNA
Source: RNAcentral